This 439-nucleotide ribosomal RNA is filed under the name uncultured Bacteroidota bacterium. RNAcentral describes it as "bacterial SSU rRNA". It matches the Rfam family "Bacterial small subunit ribosomal RNA", at positions 82 to 507 of the family's 1533-position model. Lineage: Bacteria; Pseudomonadati; Bacteroidota. The record is from RNAcentral.
ACUCCGCCGGCGACCGGCGGCACGGUCGAGUAACACGUACUAGCAACCUGCCCCUGGCUGGGGGAGUAAGCCGGACGAAUCCGGUCCUAAUACCGCGUAACAUCCUUGCGGGACGAUCCCGUUACGGAUCAAAGGAAGCGAUUCCGGCCAGGGAUGGGCAUGCGGCGCAUUAGCUAGUCGGCGGGGUAACGGCCCACCGAGGCGACGAUGCGUAGGGGUUCUGAGAGGAAGGUCCCCCACACUGGUACUGAGACACGGACCAGACUCCUACGGGAGGCAGCAGUGAGGAAUAUUGGUCAAUGGGCGCGAGCCUGAACCAGCCAAGUCGCGUGAGGGAAGACGGUCCUAUGGAUUGUAAACCUCUUUUGCCGGGGAGCAAGCUGUGCCACGUGUGGCGCAGCUGAGAGUACCCGGAGAAAAAGCAUCGGCUAACUCCAUG